UCUCUUCAUUCAUAAUGAAGAAACAUCCAAUGAUGGAUUAGAUUCAUAAUCUAAUACAUUUACGCUUCCAUUUCGUUACUCGAAUUCUUCCUCAUUCUUUGAGGAAUCUAUCCUUUAGUAUUUCUUAAAUACUUAAGGACUCACUUGACAGUUGCCAUGGUUCUGAUCCUGGGCUUGCACUGAUAUCGUCUUGUACGUUUCUAGGUACAACUCAUAUCAAUGUUUUUUUCAUACAAUAUGAAAUACAUAAAUCACCUUUCUACGUAUGCAUAAAGGAUUCUAUUUACGCAUUAUUUCUUUGGGAGUCAAAGGGUACAUUCCCUUUGAGAAUGGCAACUUGCUAGUCUCACUAGAGUCGUCCUUCUAAUUGAAGUUUAUCAUCAUAUGAGAAACUUCCUAGCAUCUUUUGUCUAUUAUUACGGAUUGAUAUAAUCCAAUUAUAUCUUGAAAUAUAUCAUUAUAGAUUUCCAUCCCAUGUAUAUAGACUAUGUCUCCCAUAUCCAUUCUAUCGUUAUAGAAUGUUUAAAGUCAUAACUUUAACGAAGAAGUAUUCUUUUCAUUUCCAAAAUUAAUAUAUCAUAUAUGUGUGUGUAUAUAUAUAUAUAUAUAUAUAUAUAUAUACAUAUAUAUUUAAAUUUAGGAACAUGAUUAACUCCCACUAAUCUUUUGUAAACCUAGUAAACAAAAGAUUCAUUUACAUCUUUAUGAGAAAUCAAACAAUUUGAUCUUUCUCUCAUAAGACGUUUAUAGCUCCCACUAGCUUGCUAAGAUCCAUGAUGGAUGG
RNAcentral lists this long non-coding RNA (784 nucleotides) under Malus domestica (apple). RNAcentral's name for it is "long non-coding RNA (MDOM_LNC008397)". The record is from RNAcentral. Lineage: Eukaryota; Viridiplantae; Streptophyta; Magnoliopsida; Rosales; Rosaceae.